This 376-nucleotide ribosomal RNA is filed under the name uncultured bacterium. Its description in RNAcentral is "bacterial SSU rRNA". It matches the Rfam family "Bacterial small subunit ribosomal RNA", at positions 524 to 898 of the family's 1533-position model. The record is from RNAcentral.
UACGUAGGUGGCAAGCGUUGUCCGGAAUAACUGGGCGUAAAGCGCAUGUAGACGGCAUGAUAAGCCAAAUGUGAAAUGUAGGGGCUCAACCCCUGCACUGCGAUUGGAACUGUCAAGCUUGAGUGCAGGAGAGGCAAAUGGAAUUCCCAGUGUAGCAGUGAAAUGCGUAGAGAUUGGGAGGAACACCAGUGGCGAAGGCGAUUUGCUGGACUGCAACUGACGUUGAGAUGCGAAAGCCAGGGGAGCAAACGGGAUUAGAUACCCCGGUAGUCCUGGCCGUAAACGAUGGAUACUAGGUGUAGAGGGUAUCGACCCCUUCUGUGCCGCAGCGAACGCAAUAAGUAUCCCGCCUGGGGAGUACGGUCGCAAGACUGAA